Molecule: long non-coding RNA, 417 nt
Filed under: Amborella trichopoda
Lineage: Eukaryota; Viridiplantae; Streptophyta; Magnoliopsida; Amborellales; Amborellaceae
Description: long non-coding RNA (ATRI_LNC004456)
Source: RNAcentral
UUUAACACCUUCAAAAUGUAACUACCCAAUUCCUACCGCUAACACCUCCAAUUAACACAACACCUACAGACAUGCCCAAUUAACACCUUCAAAAUGUAACUCCCCAAUUCCUACCACUGACACCCCUAAUUAACACAACACUUUCAAAAUGUAACUUCCCAAUUCCUACCAUUGACACCCCCAAUUAACACCUUCAAAAUAUAAUUCCCCAAUUCCUACCACUGACACCCCCAAUUAACACCUUUCAAAAUGUAAUUCCCCUCAAAAUGUGUAACUCCCCAAUCUAUUGAAAAAAUGGGUAUCGAUUUCUACCAUCACAAACACCCCCCAAUUUAAAACCUUCAAAAUGUAACUCUAACACGCCCCAAUUCCUACCACUGACACCCCCAAUUAACACCUUUCAAAAUGUAAUUCCCC